Xiphophorus hellerii (green swordtail) is the source of this 1265-nucleotide long non-coding RNA. RefSeq lists it as uncharacterized. NCBI's taxonomy places the organism in Eukaryota, Metazoa, Chordata, Actinopteri, Cyprinodontiformes, Poeciliidae. The transcript has 2 exons. The record is from RefSeq and is a predicted model, not a curated record.
UGAUUUAACCCGAUUCGGGCUACCAGAUCGCCGGCGAUCUGAGAUGCAUACAUAUUUUUCAAAUGCCGGUAGAAUUCGAACCACGUAAGGUAGAGCAAUUUUUUUUUUUGCAUAUUAAACUGUAAGAAUUGCGCUUCCUUUUCCGACCCUAAACAUCCCCCCCGAGUUGCUGUGCGCGCGCAGACGAGUUCACAGAUUUAUAGUAAAAAGGAUGGGUCCACAAACAUGAUGUGGCAUCCAUCCCUAUAUUUGUAGAUCAGCUCGGGUCUGGCCAAUCACUUCCUGUGUUGUUCUGACGUUGACAGAAUGAAAUACUACGAGAUUUCAUGAAAUGUCACAUGACUUCAGGUGAGAUUUCAUGAAAGUCAUUUCCGUUUCCUGCACGUGCUAUUUGGCUCUGCUCUUGCAAGGCAAACACCCAAAAAAAAAAAAAUUAUGGAAAGACACGGAGUAAGAAGAUUUUACUCUGCGUCCGAAGUCUUGGAGCUCGUCACCGCUCAAGAUGGCCAAAAUGAGGAGAGGUAUUCUUCAGACCCUGAUACUGCAGACACUGAUGAGGAAGAGGACUUCAUCGAAGGGAUCGAUAAACUUCAUGAUAUUACUGGCAAUAUCGUGGAGGAGAAAGAUGGCGAUCUGAAUGAGGAUGAUGAAGAGGACAAUAACGGUGUGGUGGCAGGUGCAAGUAGAGGAAGAAAAAGAAGUCGGGAGGGUCCAGCUAGUAAAAGGAGAGGCAAAAGGUCAGAAACUCAUGUGGACACUCAAGUCAAGUGGAAAACAGAGAAGGAGACUGAUCAUUUGCUGCACCCCCCACUCCAUUUCCGUCCAAAGAGGACACCAGGUGUUCAGCUGCCCCUUUCCAAUACUGAGAUUCCGUCACCUUCAGAGCUAUUCAAAUUAUUUUUUGACCAGGCUACCAUAAAGACAUUAUGUGAAAACACUAACAAAAAUGCAGCCAAAAAUUUAGCUGCUGGAAAAAAAUUUCGUUGGACUGAUGUCACAGCUAAUGAAAUGUAUGCAUAUAUUGGACUUACUCAAUUUGUGUAUUCACUCAUGUGAAUACACAAAGACUGACACACUUUCAUUUAAAUGUUUGUAUUUUAUUGUUGAUGUACAAUGUGCAAUGUAUCUUCUGCACUUCUUUUUUCUGAUUGCACUGAUAAAAGCAUUUUUUUUAUUUUCCCUCGUUUUAUUGUUUUUAGAAAAUUGGCUGUAACUUUGAAACGAAGCUUUGAAAAAACUCCAAAUAAAUUGUGUUUGGUUUAGAA